Long non-coding RNA from Cucumis melo (muskmelon), 1388 nucleotides. RefSeq lists it as uncharacterized. Lineage: Eukaryota; Viridiplantae; Streptophyta; Magnoliopsida; Cucurbitales; Cucurbitaceae. The record is from RefSeq and is a predicted model, not a curated record. The transcript has 2 exons.
AUAAGAACAAAGCCAAUGAAGAGGUUUUCCACUUGUUUUCCAAGUUAGAAAACAAAACGUUGAAUUCAACUUCGAAGUUAGAGGUUUGAUUAUCUCAUUUUUUAUGUUGUCGAAAAAAAAUAUGUUAAAUUUUCCUAUCUAUCACGAUAGGUAGUGAAAUUGUUAUCUAUUUGUAAAUAUCUUCAACAGUUUUGUUAUUUAAAAUAAUUCCUCAUUUUAGUUUUAUACUUUAAAUUUUAUUCAAUUUUAGUCCUUAAUACGCUAAAUAUUUUGAUCUUAGUUUAUUUACUUUCGAUGAAUCUUUAAUUUAGCCCGUCAAACUUACUUUUUACUAAAAUUAGUUGAAUAUACUAAUAAUUUUCAUGCAAGUAAAUACAAUACAAGAAUAUGUCCUCGAUAUUUAUAGUAAAAAUGCUAAUAAAUAACAACCUAUUUUUGAAAAAGAUCAACAAUAAAUUAGUGGCAAAAAUUAAAUUUAAGAAUUUUUAAAAAGUUAUUUUAAAAAAUAAUAAAAUAUUGAAACUAUUUGUAAAAUAUAGCAAAAUUUAUGAUCUCUAUCGUCUAUUUAAGAUUUUUCUUUACUAUAUUUUGUAUAUAGCUUGAUUUCUUACCUAAUCUAAAUUAAAAAAUUAUUAUUGAAUAAUUAUAAUAUAAAAAAUAUAAUAAUUAAAUUUGUAUUUCAAUCCAAAAUAAUAAUUAAUAAAUAAUAGGUGGGGCAUUUUGCAAAAACGUUUCCGAGAUUUCUCCGUCGCCAACGAAACCGGCGAAGCGCUGAGAAGACAACCCACCAUGAUCGACGUUGAAAUCGAGUAUAAGGAAGAACUCGAACAACUCCGUAAACGCCCCGCCGCCGCCUUCAUCAACUCCUCUCUCCUCCAUAACCUCAAUCGGAACAAAGACCCGGCCUCCAAAGCUCAGCGACUCGGUAUUUCCUCUCGAACUCAUCCAUUUCAUAUACUUCUCUGAUCCCCGAUUAGUUGGCCUAGUGAAUGGGAACGAUAGGGUAUUAGUCCGGUUCUGAUCGUCCGCGUUUGUGGAAAAUUCGAGGAAGGCUACAGCAAAUUCUGCUUCGACCGAUGAAGCUGCCUUUCUAAAGAGUGUGGAAGAUUUUGUGGCGCACUCUGGUUUUCUUCAAGUUUCUAUGGGCGAGAGGAAUGGAAGAAGUUUCUGACUCUUUCUCUACUUAUAAUUCACGUGCAGGUGUUUAUUCCAUUCAUCAAUGAAAUGUUGUAUGAUUUAAGAAAAGUUUAUAAGCCAAUAAGACAAAUUAUGAAUGUGUAUGCCAAAGGGAUCAGUAGGAUCGAAAAGCAUGAUUUAUUAUUGAAAUAAAACGUUGUUGUUAUUUGACUAAGAUCUUGAGCGAAAUAUAUUGAGAAUUGGAUUGAGUA